RNAcentral lists this ribosomal RNA (512 nucleotides) under uncultured bacterium. RNAcentral's name for it is "partial 16S ribosomal RNA". It matches the Rfam family "Bacterial small subunit ribosomal RNA", at positions 28 to 507 of the family's 1533-position model. The record is from RNAcentral.
GAUGAACGCUGGCGGCGUGCCUAAUACAUGCAAGUCGAACGAAACUUCUUUAUCACCGAGUGCUUGCACUCACCGAUAAAGAGUUGAGUGGCGAACGGGUGAGUAACACGUGGGCAACCUGCCCAAAAGAGGGGGAUAACACUUGGUAACAGGUGCUAAUACCGCAUAACCAUAGUUACCGCAUGGUAACUAUGUAAAAGGUGGCUAUACUACCGCUUUUGGAUGGGCCCGCGGCGCAUUAGCUAGUUGGUAGGGUAAAGGCUUACCAAGGCAAUGAUGCGUAGCCGAAUUGAGAGGUUGAUCGGCCACAUUGGGACUGAGACACGGCCCAAACUCCUACGGGAGGCAGCAGUAGGGAAUCUUCCACAAUGGGCGAAAGCCUGAUGGAGCAACGCCGCGUGGGUGAAGAAGGUCUUCGGAUCGUAAAACCCUGUUGUUAGAGAAGAAAGUGCGUGAGAGUAACUGUUCACGUUUCGACGGUAUCUAACCAGAAAGCCACUGCUAACUACGUG